RNAcentral lists this ribosomal RNA (507 nucleotides) under uncultured bacterium. RNAcentral describes it as "partial 16S ribosomal RNA". It matches the Rfam family "Bacterial small subunit ribosomal RNA", at positions 30 to 523 of the family's 1533-position model. The record is from RNAcentral.
AUUGAACGCUGGCGGCAGGCCUAACACAUGCAAGUCGAACGGUAACAGGAAACAGCUUGCUGUUUCGCUGACGAGUGGCGGACGGGUGAGUAAUGUCUGGGAAACUGCCUGAUGGAGGGGGAUAACUACUGGAAACGGUAGCUAAUACCGCAUAACGUCGCAAGACCAAAGAGGGGGACCUUCGGGCCUCUUGCCAUCGGAUGUGCCCAGAUGGGGAUUAGCUAGUAGGUGGGGUAACGGCUCACCUAGGCGACGAUCCCUAGCUGGUCUGAGAGGAUGACCAGCCACCCUGGAACUGAGACACGGUCCAGACUCCUACGGGAGGCAGCAGUGGGGAAUAGUGCACAAUGGGCGCAAGCCUGAUGCAGCCAUGCCGCGUGUAUGAAGAAGGCCUUCGGGUUGUAAAGUACUUUCAGCGGGGAGGAAGGGAGUAAAGUCAAUACCUUUGCUCAUUGACGUUACCCGCAGAAGAAGCACCGGCUAACUCCGUGCCAGCCGCCGCCGUAA